RNAcentral lists this ribosomal RNA (265 nucleotides) under uncultured bacterium. RNAcentral describes it as "partial 16S ribosomal RNA". It matches the Rfam family "Bacterial small subunit ribosomal RNA", at positions 337 to 594 of the family's 1533-position model. The record is from RNAcentral.
UCCUACGGGGGGCAGCAGUAGGGAAUCUUCCACAAUGGACGAAAGUCUGAUGGAGCAACGCCGCGUGAGUGAAGAAGGGUUUCGGCUCGUAAAGCUCUGUUGGUAGUGAAGAAAGAUAGAGGUAGUAACUGGCCUUUAUUUGACGGUAAUUACUUAGAAAGUCACGGCUAACUACGUGCCAGCAGCCGCGGUAAUACGUAGGUGGGAAGCGUUGUCCGGAUUUAUUGGGCGUAAAGCGAGUGCAGGCGGGUUCAUUAGUCUUGUG